Molecule: ribosomal RNA, 433 nt
Filed under: uncultured bacterium
Lineage: Bacteria
Description: partial 16S ribosomal RNA
Rfam family: Bacterial small subunit ribosomal RNA
Source: RNAcentral
AACGAACGCUGGCGGCAUGCCUAACACAUGCAAGUCGAACGAGACCUUCGGGUCUAGUGGCGCACGGGUGCGUAACGCGUGGGAACCUGCCCUUAGGUUCGGAAUAACUCCCCGAAAGGGGUGCUAAUACCGGAUAAUGUCUUCGGACCAAAGAUUUAUCGCCUUUGGAUGGGCCCGCGUUGGAUUAGCUAGUUGGUAGGGUAAAGGCCUACCAAGGCGACGAUCCAUAGCUGGUCUGAGAGGAUGAACAGCCACACUGGGACUGAGACACGGCCCAGACUCCUACGGGAGGCAGCAGUGGGGAAUAUUGGACAAUGGGCGAAAGCCUGAUCCAGCAAUGCCGCGUGAGUGAUGAAGGCCUUAGGGUUGUAAAGCUCUAUUACCCGGGAUGAUAAUGACAGUACCGGGAGAAUAAGCUCCGGCUAACUCCGUG